GGUGAACGGCGGCCGUAACGAUAACGGUCCUAAGGUAGCGAAAUUCCUUGUCGGGUAAGUUCCGACCCGCACGAAAGGUGUAACGACUUGGGCACUGUCUCAACGAGAGACUCGGUGAAAUCAUAGUACCUGUGAAGAUGCAGGUUACCCGCGACAGGACGGAAAGACCCCGUGGAGCUUUACUGUAGCCUGAUAUUGAAAUUCGGCACAGCUUGUACAGGAUAGGUAGGAGCCUUUGAAACGUGAGCGCUAGCUUACGUGGAGGCGUUGGUGGGAUACUACCCUAGCUGUGUUGGCUUUCUAACCCGCACCACUUAUCGUGGUGGGAGACAGUGUCAGGCGGGCAGUUUGACUGGGGCGGUCGCCUCCCAAAGCGUAACGGAGGCGCCCAAAGGUUCCCUCAGAAUGGUUGGAAAUCAUUCGAAGAGUGUAAAGGCAGAAGGGAGCUUGACUGCGAGACCUACAAGUCGAGCAGGGACGAAAGUCGGGCUUAGUGAUCCGGUGGUUCCG
RNAcentral lists this ribosomal RNA (510 nucleotides) under Oxyrrhis marina. RNAcentral describes it as "partial Bacterial large subunit ribosomal RNA". It matches the Rfam family "Bacterial large subunit ribosomal RNA", at positions 1922 to 2431 of the family's 2925-position model. The record is from RNAcentral. Lineage: Eukaryota; Dinophyceae; Oxyrrhinales; Oxyrrhinaceae.